ACAGCUUACUGACAACGAGGCCGAGAGUCCAUCGGGACUGUCCCCGUCAGGUUGGGCAGAAAUAGGGAAAUGUACCGAUUGGACUGGGCCUUGACUCUUCCGGAAGAGCAGGGACGAAUACACAGCCUGUGUGGAGGUAGAAGGAGGUGUGGAAUCAGGCACCCGGUCCCCACUGCUGUCCACUUGUCUACCAAGUCGAAAAAUGUUGCAGUGUGGCUGGGCUCGGUGGCUCAGCCUGUCAUCCCGCGCUUUGGGAGGCCGAGAAUAUGGACAUAAUGCUGGAGCUUCUGCAGCCAUCUUGGACCAUGAGGUGACUGAAGAGGAGAGCCACAUGCUGAAUGAAGAUGGCAAAGCAGAAAGUUAGGUGCUUAGAUGAUAGAGGGACUGUGGAGACAGAAGCAGCACCAUCUUGGAUGCUAGUCCACCAUGCUGACUUCUGAUUAACCCCUGUUCUGGGAAGGCCUCUAAGAUUUCUAUUUUAUCUACUAUUCCUUGUGUAAGAGUAUAUACUUACAAUAAAGCCUGCCCUUAGGUCAAAAUGACCUUUACCAUAAA
Long non-coding RNA from Carlito syrichta (Philippine tarsier), 555 nucleotides. RefSeq lists it as uncharacterized. The record is from RefSeq and is a predicted model, not a curated record. Lineage: Eukaryota; Metazoa; Chordata; Mammalia; Primates; Tarsiidae. The transcript is spliced from 3 exons.